This 1043-nucleotide ribosomal RNA is filed under the name rhizosphere soil bacterium RSC-II-72. Its description in RNAcentral is "bacterial SSU rRNA". It matches the Rfam family "Bacterial small subunit ribosomal RNA", at positions 9 to 1027 of the family's 1533-position model. The record is from RNAcentral.
GAGUUUGAUCAUGGCUCAGAGCGAACGUUGGCGGCGCGCUUAACACAUGCAAGUCGAACGCGAAAAGGGGCAACCCUGAGUAGAGUGGCGCACGGGUGCGUAACACGUAGGCAAUCUGCCCUAUGGAGGGGGAUAACCAUCCGAAAGGAUGGCUAAUACCGCGUAAGACCACGACUGCUUCGGCAGAUGCGGUCAAAGUUGGCCUCUACUUGUAAGCUAACACCAAAGGACGAGCCUGCGGCCCAUCAGCUAGUUGGUAAGGUAACGGCUUACCAAGGCUAAGACGGGUAGCUGGUCUGAGAGGAUGAUCAGCCACACUGGCACUGAAACACGGGCCAGACUCCUACGGGAGGCAGCAGUGGGGAAUCUUGGACAAUGGGCGAAAGCCUGAUCCAGCGACGCCGCGUGGGUGAUGAAGGCCUUCGGGUCGUAAAGCCCUGUGGGCAGGAAAGAAAACGGUCACGGCGAACAGGCGUGGCCCUUGACGGUACCUGCUCAGAAAGCACCGGCUAACUCUGUGCCAGCAGCCGCGGUAAGACAGAGGGUGCAAACGUUGCUCGGAAUUACUGGGCGUAAAGCGCGUGUAGGCGGACCGGAAAGUCGGGCGUGAAAUCCCUGGGCUCAACCCAGGAACUGCACUCGAAACUUCCGGCCUUGAGUGGUGGAGAGGGUAGUGGAAUUCCUGGUGUAGAGGUGAAAUUCGUAGAUAUCAGGAGGAACACCGGUGGCGAAGGCGGCUACCUGGACACUAACUGACGCUGAGACGCGAAAGCGUGGGGAGCAAACAGGAUUAGAUACCCUGGUAGUCCACGCUGUAAACGAUGGGCACUAGGUGUCGCGGGUAUUGACCCCUGCGGUGCCGUAGCAAACGCGUUAAGUGCCCCGCCUGGGGAGUACGGCCGCAAGGCUAAAACUCAAAGGAAUUGACGGGGGCCCGCACAAGCGGUGGAGCAUGUGGUUUAAUUUGACGCAACGCGCAGAACCUUACCCGGGCUAGAAAAACAAGGAACCUUCCAGAGAUGGAGGGGUGCCCGCAAGGGAAU